GAUGAAGAACGGAGCGAAAUGCGAUAAGUAGUGUGAAUUGCAGAAUUCAGUGAAUCAUCGAAUCUUUGAACGCACAUUGCGCCCCUUGGUAUCCCGAGGGGCAUGCCUGUUCGAGCGUCAUUUCACCACUCAAGCCUGGCUUGGUGUUGGGCGACGUCCCCUUUGGGGACGCGCCUCGAAACGCUCGGCGGCGUGGCACCGGCUUUAAGCGUAGCAGAAUCUUUCGCUUUGGAAGUCGGGGCCCCGUCUGCCGGAAGACCUACUCGCAAGGUUGACCUCGGAUCAGGCAGGGAUACCCGCUGAACUUAAGCAUAUCAAUAAGCGGAGGA
RNAcentral lists this unclassified non-coding RNA (329 nucleotides) under soil metagenome. RNAcentral describes it as "partial contains 5.8S ribosomal RNA, internal transcribed spacer 2, and large subunit ribosomal RNA". The stretch from base 1 to 120 matches the Rfam family "5.8S ribosomal RNA", at positions 35 to 154 of the family's 154-position model. The record is from RNAcentral.